Molecule: ribosomal RNA, 563 nt
Filed under: uncultured bacterium
Lineage: Bacteria
Description: bacterial SSU rRNA
Rfam family: Bacterial small subunit ribosomal RNA
Source: RNAcentral
CCUACGGGAGGCAGCAGUGGGGAAUCUUGCGCAAUGGGCGGAAGCCUGACGCAGCCAUGCCGCGUGAAUGAUGAAGGUCUUAGGAUUGUAAAAAUUCUUUCACCGGGGACGAUAAUGACGGUACCCGGAGAAGAAGCCCCGGCUAACUUCGUGCCAGCAGCCGCGGUAAUACGAAGGGGGGCUAGCGUUGCUCGGAAUUACUGGGCGUAAAGGGAGCGUAGGCGGAUAGUUUAGUCAGAGGUGAAAGCCCAGGGCUCAACCUUGGAAUUGCCUUUGAUACUGGCUAUCUUGAGUAUGGGAGAGGUUAGCGGAACUCCGAGUGUAGAGGUGAAAUUCGUAGAUAUUCGGAAGAACACCAGUGGCGAAGGCGGCUAACUGGCCCAUUACUGACGCUGAGGCUCGAAAGCGUGGGGAGCAAACAGGAUUAGAUACCCUGGUAGUCCACGCCGUAAACGAUGAGUGCUAGUUGUCGGCAUGCAUGCAUGUCGGUGACGCAGCUAACGCAUUAAGCACUCCGCCUGGGGAGUACGGUCGCAAGAUUAAAACUCAAAUGAAAUUGACGG